RNAcentral lists this long non-coding RNA (1556 nucleotides) under Salmo salar (Atlantic salmon). Its description in RNAcentral is "lncRNA (ENSSSAG00000102282.1)". The record is from RNAcentral. Lineage: Eukaryota; Metazoa; Chordata; Actinopteri; Salmoniformes; Salmonidae.
AUCCCUGGCGCUGCUUUCUGUCGCCUCCACACGGAUAUUCCCGUUCGGUUCUGUCGGGGCUCUGUCGCCUCCACACGGAUACUCCCGUUCGGUUCUGUCGGGGCUCUGUCGCCUCCACACGGAUACUCCCGUUCGGUUCUGUCGGGGCUCUGUCGCGGACGGCAACUAUGGCUGAUGCGGGAGAAGCCGGCGAAGAUGAAAUCCAGUUCUUACGAACCUGUAAUGGACCCUCUCACCUCCUUCUACAGUGUAAUGGACCCUCUCAUCUCCUUCUACAGUUGUAAUGGACCCUCUCAUCUCCUUCUACAGUGUAAUGGACCCUCUCACCUCCUUCUACAGUGUAAUGGACCCUCUCAUCUCCUUCUACAGUUGUAAUGGACCCUCUCAUCUCCUUCUACAGUGUAAUGGACCCUCUCAUCUCCUUCUACAGUGUAAUGGACCCUCUCAUCUCCUUCUACAGUGUAAUGGACCCUCUCAUCUCCUUCUACAGUGUAAUGGACCCUCUCAUCUCCUUCUGCAGUUGUAAUGGACCCUCUCAUCUCCUUCUACAGUGUAAUACACCCUCUCAUCUCCUUCUACAGUGUAAUGGACCCUCUCAUCUCCUUCUUCAGUGUGGUAGACUCUCUUGUAAGCACCAAUUCAUGAGUAUCCUGAAGGUAUGCUGAACAGGAUGGUAGUGGGAUGCACCAGAGCAGGGAAGAUGUUGGAAUUAUACUGAAGUAUGCUGUAUUUUAGAAGACAGCCUUGUAUUGUAGAUAUGUAUUUAUUAUCGGUGUAAUGUAGUGUCUGUAUUGUAGAUAUGUAGUUAUUAUAGGUGGAAUGUAGUGUCUGUAUUGUUGAUAUGUAUUUAUUAUAGGUGGAAUGUAGUGUCUGUAUUGUUGAUAUGUAUUUAUUAUAGGUGGAAUGUAGUGUCUGUAUUGUAGAUAUGUAUUUAUUAUAGGUGGAAUGUAGUGUCUGUAUUGUAGAUAUGUAUUUAUUAUAGGUGGAAUGUAGUGUCUGUAUUGUAGAUAUGUAUUUAUUAUAGGUGGAAUGUAGUGUCUGUAUUGUAGAUAUAUAUUUAUUAUAGGUGGAAUGUAGUGUCUGUAGACACGUGAGACACUUGCGUCUCUAAGAAUCAUAUAUAUAUAUAUGUAUAUGUUUUUGUAACCUUUAUUUAACCAGACAAGUCAGUUAAUAACAUAAUCUUAUUUACAAUGACUUCCUACCCUGACCGACGCCGGGCCAAUUAUGCGCCGCCCUAUGGGACUCCCAAUCACGGCCGGUUGUGAUACAGCCCGGGAUCGAACCCGGGUCUGUAGUGACGCCUCUAACACUGCGAUGCAGUGCCUUAGACCGCUGCGCCACUCUAGGAAUAGUGCCGUAAUGUCGGUUAGCCAUGAAAACAUUUGGGGAGCGUGCGACUUUCUUUCUAAAUGGAAGCAUAUGGUCACUAUUUCAGCUGAUCAGCGUCCCACUUACCUCAAAACCAUCAUGCGACGUCCCCUUGACCUUCAUGUGAUGUCCCCUUGACCUUCAUGUGACGUCCCCUUGUUGUCGUUGAAUGUCUCACUCAUAAC